GAGCGACUAGCCCAACGGUAGAGGCAUUGCGCUUAGGACGCAAUCAGUCGGAGUUCAAAUCUCCGGUCGCUCACCA
Molecule: transfer RNA, 76 nt
Filed under: Armatimonadota bacterium
Lineage: Bacteria; Bacillati; Armatimonadota
Description: tRNA-Leu
Rfam family: tRNA
About the family: Transfer RNA (tRNA) molecules are approximately 80 nucleotides in length.
Source: RNAcentral